This 356-nucleotide RNase P RNA is filed under the name Bornetia secundiflora. RNAcentral describes it as "ribonuclease P RNA". It matches the Rfam family "Bacterial RNase P class A", at positions 43 to 352 of the family's 367-position model. From Rfam's summary of the family: Ribonuclease P (RNase P) is a ubiquitous endoribonuclease, found in archaea, bacteria and eukarya as well as chloroplasts and mitochondria. Its best characterised activity is the generation of mature 5'-ends of tRNAs by cleaving the 5'-leader elements of precursor-tRNAs. The record is from RNAcentral. Lineage: Eukaryota; Rhodophyta; Florideophyceae; Ceramiales; Wrangeliaceae.
GAGGAAAGUCCGGGCUCUAUGUAGAGACAUAUGGCUGUAUGAAAAGCAGUGUAGGUAACUACGAGGAUAGUGCCACAGAAAUAAACCGCCUAGCUACGUGUAUUUAGGCAAGGGUGCAAUGGUGCGGUAAGAGCGUACCAGAAAUAUUAUUAAGAUAUUUGCUAGGUAAACCCCGUAUAAGAGCAAAGUUACUAGUAUACUUAUAAUUUUAUUUCUAUAAAAAAAUUAUAUAUUAUCAGAAGUUAAAUCUAGUUUAUUGAUACUGCAUAAAGUAAUUUUUUACCUUACUUAAGAUUAAUAAUUACCCUUUUUGUGUUUUGAUAUAUAAAUGCAAAUAAGAACAAAACCCGGCUUAU